Molecule: ribosomal RNA, 101 nt
Filed under: Tricholomataceae sp.
Lineage: Eukaryota; Fungi; Basidiomycota; Agaricomycetes; Agaricales; Tricholomataceae
Description: partial large subunit ribosomal RNA
Source: RNAcentral
CCGCGCUGGACCAUAUACAAGUCCUCUGGAAUGGGGUGUCAUAGAGGGUGAGAAUCCCGUCUUUGAUAUGGACUACCAGUGCUUUGUGGUGCGCUCUCGAA